UGGGGAAUAUUGCACAAUGGGCGCAAGCCUGAUGCAGCCAUGCCGCGUGUAUGAAGAAGGCCUUCGGGUUGUAAAGUACUUUCAGCGGGGAGGAAGGCGAUAAGGUUAAUAACCUUGUCGAUUGACGUUACCCGCAGAAGAAGCACCGGCUAACUCCGUGCCAGCAGCCGCGGUAAUACGGAGGGUGCAAGCGUUAAUCGGAAUUACUGGGCGUAAAGCGCACGCAGGCGGUCUGUCAAGUCGGAUGUGAAAUCCCCGGGCUCAACCUGGGAACUGCAUUCGAAACUGGCAGGCUAGAGUCUUGUAGAGGGGGGUAGAAUUCCAGGUGUAGCGGUGAAAUGCGUAGAGAUCUGGAGGAAUACCGGUGGCGAAGGCGGCCCCCUGGACAAAGACUGACGCUCAGGUACGAAAGCGUGGGGAGCAAACA
RNAcentral lists this ribosomal RNA (427 nucleotides) under uncultured bacterium. Its description in RNAcentral is "partial 16S ribosomal RNA". It matches the Rfam family "Bacterial small subunit ribosomal RNA", at positions 355 to 774 of the family's 1533-position model. The record is from RNAcentral.